RNAcentral lists this ribosomal RNA (237 nucleotides) under uncultured bacterium. Its description in RNAcentral is "partial 16S ribosomal RNA". It matches the Rfam family "Bacterial small subunit ribosomal RNA", at positions 334 to 568 of the family's 1533-position model. The record is from RNAcentral.
ACAUCCUACGGGACGCAGCAGUGAGGAAUAUUGGUCAAUGGCCGGAAGGCUGAACCAGCCAAGCCGCGUGAAGGACGAAGGUGCCAAGCAUUGUAAACUUCUUUUGUCAAGGGACAAAAUCAGGCUCGAGAGCCUGACCGAGGGUACUUGAAGAAAAAGCAUCGGCUAACUCCGUGCCAGCAGACGAGGUAAUACGGAGGAUUCGUGGGUUAUCCGGAUUUAUUGGGUUUAAAGGGU